AGCGAACGCUGGCGGCAGGCUUAACACAUGCAAGUCGAGCGGGCAUAGCAAUAUGUCAGCGGCAGACGGGUGAGUAACGCGUGGGAACGUACCUUUUGGUUCGGAACAACUGAGGGAAACUUCAGCUAAUACCGGAUAAGCCCUUACGGGGAAAGAUUUAUCGCCGAAAGAUCGGCCCGCGUCUGAUUAGCUAGUUGGUGAGGUAAUGGCUCACCAAGGCGACGAUCAGUAGCUGGGAGGAGAGGAUGAUCAGCCACAUUGGGACUGAGACACGGCCCAAACUCGUACGGAAGGGAGGAGUGGGGAAUAUUGGACAAGGGGCGCAAGCCUGAUCCAGCCAGGCCGGGGGAGUGAUGAAGGCCCUAGGGUUGUAAAGCUCUUUUGUGCGGGAAGAUAAUGACGGUACCGCAAGAAUAAGCCCCGGCUAACUUCGUG
This 435-nucleotide ribosomal RNA is filed under the name uncultured bacterium. RNAcentral describes it as "partial 16S ribosomal RNA". It matches the Rfam family "Bacterial small subunit ribosomal RNA", at positions 29 to 507 of the family's 1533-position model. The record is from RNAcentral.